This 23-nucleotide non-coding RNA is filed under the name Arabidopsis thaliana (thale cress). The record is from RNAcentral. Lineage: Eukaryota; Viridiplantae; Streptophyta; Magnoliopsida; Brassicales; Brassicaceae.
GUGGACUGGAAACGAGAUCUGAA